Molecule: long non-coding RNA, 2279 nt
Filed under: Salmo salar (Atlantic salmon)
Lineage: Eukaryota; Metazoa; Chordata; Actinopteri; Salmoniformes; Salmonidae
Description: lncRNA (ENSSSAG00000087446.1)
Source: RNAcentral
UUCCGUUUUAUUCUCCAGAUCUGGGUGACUAUGUCUGGGGCACAUGAAACAGAGUGUGAUGAGUAAGCCUGUCUGAGAGCUGAAGACUUGCGUUAGCUCCCAGAGCCUGUUUGGUGGUGCUGACUGUCAGAGUGGUGAGAAGUGGGCAGGGCGUGUUAGGCUUGAGUUAGUUAGAAGGACACGUCCUGUAAACAUGACACAACACAACACAACACAACACAACACAAUGUUUACGAUCAAACCAUGCUAAAAUCUCUUUUGAACUCCCCUCUCGCUCUCUCUCUCUCCUCUUUCUGUCUCUCUCAAGCCCCACAUAUCUGUUGUCCGUAUCUCCCUUCCAUCUCAAUGAGUCCUCUGUGUCCUGUGUCUCUGUCUGUUUUUCAUUACUGUUUACUUUGGCCCUGCUCUGUUUCUCCUCCCCCCUUCUCUCUCCGUUUUGUCAUCCCCCUUGCACUUUUUUCUUCUCUCUCUCUCUCCAGCCUGAGGCUCAGUGGACACAGGAAAUAGUUAAGUGUUGUUGGAGUGUCUCUCAGAUAGUCUGUUGCCCCUCUGGUGCUUAUAGAAACAGUCUGGACCACACACACACACACACACACCCUUUAACACAAUCUCAUACAGAAUAUCCCUGCAAGUAAGUGAAAUAUAUAAAUCACAUCACGUUUGUAUAAGGUGUCACAAAGUGCCAAACCAGUGACAGGCAGACAGCUAACAGAAUUGUUAUCUAAAACUGAGACCGGUCAGUAAAAGGUCGGAGUGAUUAUGCCUGUUUCAUCAGCGAGCUACAACCUUGUUUCUUAUCUUUACAGUUAAUCCCUCCUCCUUCUGGACACACGUACUCUGUCUAUAUUUGGAGUAAGACACUGAUCUAAGGUCAGUUUUGCUAUGUGUAAGAACAGAGGCAGUAUUUUUCUCUGCCAAUUCAGGAAUAACUUGUAUAUUUGUAUUUCUUAAUUAUUUGUAUUUCUUCAUGAUGACAUUUUUCAGGGGGUGUUGCAGCACCCUCAGCACCCCUACUUCCCACAGCUAUGUGUAAACCUGUUAGUAGGCCUGGCCAUAUCUGUGAUAACUUAGGUCAGGAAUAACCAGGGUGAAUUUAAUGAGAAAAAUCACUCUGGAAUUUAUCACUGUAAAAUAACCAAUUAAGGCCAAUGUUGCCACGUAGCCUUCCGUAGCUACACUAUAUAUACAAAAGUAUGUGGACACCCCUUCAAAUUAGUGGAUUCGGCUAUUUCAGCCCCACCCGUUGCUGACAGGUGUAUAAAAUUGAGCACACAGCCAUGCAAUCUCCAUAGAAAAACAUUGGUAGUACAAUGGCCUUACUGAAGAGCUCAGUGACGUUUAACGUGGUACCGUCAUAGGAUGCCACUUUUCCACCAAGUCAGUUCAUCAAAUGUCUGCCCUGCUAGAGCUUCCCCGGUCAACUGUAAGCGCUGUUAUUGUGAAGUGGAAACAGAACAGGACCGCCGAGUGUUGUAGCGCGUAGCACGUAAAAAUCGUCUGUCCUUGGUUGCAACACUCACUACGAGUUCCAAACUGCACAAGAACUGUUCGCCGGGAGCUGCAUAGUGCCAACUGUAAAGUUUGGUGGAGGAGGAAUAAUGGUCUCGGGCUGUUUUUCAUGGUUCUGGCUAGGCCCUUUAGUACCAGUGAAGGGAAAUCUUAACGCUACAGCAUACAAUGACAUUCUAGACAAUUCUGUGCUUCCAACUUUGUGGCAACAGUUUGAAGAAGGCCAUUUCCUGUUUCAGCAUGACAAAGCCCCCCGUGCACAAAGCGAGAUCCAUACAGAAAUGGUUUGUUGAGAUCGGUGUGGAAGAACUUAACUGGCCGCACAGAGCCCUGACCUCAACCCCAUCAUCACCUUUGGGAUUAAUUGGAAUGCUGACUGCGAGCCAGGCCUAAUCGCCCAUAAUCAGUGCCUGACCUCACUAAUGCUUCCCAGAAGAGUGGAAGCUGUAAUGGCAGCAAAGGGGGGACCAACUCCAUUUUAAUGCCCAUAAUUUUGGAAUGAGAUGUUCUAUGAGCAGGUGUCCACAUACUUUUGGUCAAGUAGUGUACGUGUAUACCAGGGGCGCAUCUCUAGCAUAAAUAUUGUUACUGUCAGAAGGUGCAAAUCAAAUCUGGUUAGCUGAAACUGGUGCCACCUUUAAAAUGUAUGUCAAAUUAUCUUUAAGGGUUUGUUAGAGCAAUAAAACAACUAGCUUUUGACUGGCAAAAUGUUAUCUUAAUGGGUCCUAAUGGGAGGACCCAUGGAAAUAGAAUCUAGUCUAUAUUAUAUU